RNAcentral lists this unclassified non-coding RNA (2321 nucleotides) under Hevea brasiliensis (rubber tree). Lineage: Eukaryota; Viridiplantae; Streptophyta; Magnoliopsida; Malpighiales; Euphorbiaceae. The record is from RNAcentral.
AAAAAAAAAAAAAAAAAAAGACUUCCUGCACUUCGUCUAUUCAUGACUUAAUGCUUUUUUUAUUCAGUCUUUUCUACUGGAUUUCUAUGUGGAUUUUCUUUCUUAUUUUCAGCAGCCAAUUUGUCAUAAUUUACAUCCAUGAAUAUCUUGUCUUGGCUUUUGUUUUCCCCCCAACCUUAUCUCUUCUUGGUUUUUUUGGUAAAAACGUAUUUUAAAAUGCUAUAAACAAUUGAUGAUCUACAAUGAUUUACUUUUAAGAGACAUCUAAAUCUCUAAAAUAUCUAGGAACAAUAAAAUGUGCUUUUUCAAAUCUUCAGCAUUAUACCCCCAAUGUCCAGAAGGGAGUGCCGCUUUGGCACUGGUAGGGUACUUAUCUUUAUUGAUUAAAAAAAAAAAAAAAACUCUCACUUUUUGCGACCAUCAUAAAUUCAUAAUUCAUCAUUAUCUGAGUUGAUAGAGUAUUACAGAUCAGAAAUGGAUGGCCAUCGAUUACAUUACCUAAAUGGUAAUUCAUUAGUGAAUGGAAGGGGAAUUUAUAGGGAAGAAAUAGUUUCACUUCACGGAAAUCAUGCAUUGAUAGGAUUUUUUAUUCAUGAUAUGUAAAUAUGAGAGUUGACACUCAGCUUGUCCUUUUUUAGCCAUGCUAGCAGCAUUUUUUGUUGCAGCACCUCUUGGAAGUUCUAUGAAUCUUCUUUUGUCAUUGUUUGCAGAAUAUCAUUGGGCAGGAAGCAGGCAAAAGCGUGAUUGAGGAAUAUUUACGUCGUCGAGGUCAUUCAGAUGUUGGCAGCAGCACACCAGCUGUCCAAACCUCAAAAUUUCAUGCUUAUGUCAAACCAUCAACAAACAAUGGUUCUGAAAGUGGAACCAAGAAACCAGGUAGAUCACCUAAAGAUGUUGCUGUCUCUGGUUAUCAGAAUGAACCGAGGAAAGUUUCAGUUCCCAGUUAUCAGGCAGAACAAAAGAAGAACGCUAUUUCCAUUUAUCAAGAACCUAAGGUUUCAACCGAGGCAAGUGAGUCAAGCCAGAAGGGGAUCCAAGGUCAUUCUAGGAAGAAAAAAGCUGGGAAAGUCAUUUCGCUUGCAGAGGCUGCUAAGGGGUCAAUUGUGUUCCAACAGGGGAAACCAUGUUCAUGCCAAGCUCGUCGACACAGACUGAUAAGCAAUUGUUUAUCUUGUGGCAAGAUAGUUUGUGAACAAGAAGGAGAGGGGCCUUGCAGCUUCUGUGGUGCCCUUGUUCUAAAGGAGGGGAGCACCUAUGCUGGUCUUGAAGGAAAUUUGGCUCCCCUAUCAGAUGCUGAAGCAGUAGCUGAAGCUUAUGCAAGAAGGCUUGUUGAGUAUGACCGAAACUCUGCAGCACGUACAACUGUUAUUGAUGACCAAAGUGAUUACUAUGAGAUUGAGGGCAACAGUUGGCUGUCAAAAGAGGAAAAGGAACUUUUAAGGAAGAAACAACAGGCGAUAGAAGAAGCUGAAACAGCGAAGCGAAAUAAAGUAGUUGUGACUUUUGAUUUAGUUGGGCGCAAGGUAUCAAUUAUUAAUCUAACCUUGUUCUGUUGUUCCAAAUCAUUAUGGUUGCAGCAUUAGUCUUUUGACUGCACUUUGACCUAUCCUUUAUGAAUUAUGUACAACAUGUUCACUAGUGUUUUUCCACCUAAGCUUCUGCAUUUUUUGUCUUUUAGUCAUACGGAUCUAGAAAUUCGGAUGGGAUGUACCCAUUUUAUUUAUAAAUUGAACUAGAAAUUCGGUACAACUUUUCUAUUAACCGUGCCCUAAAUGAGUCGUGCCUUUACUCUGUAUGUGGCUUUCAGCAUGUAAAUAUGACUCUCUACAGUGUUAAGUGCCUUAAUACUAACAAAAAUCGAUAGAUACAACCUUUGUAUUGUUCUUUGGCACAUGGAUUUUAUUUUCAUAUUUGUUUUGCAGGCAUUUACACUUUUACCGUCUUUUCUCUAUUGCCAUUUUCCUCGUAUUCUGCACAAUAUAUAUGUGUUUUGCAGGUCUUGGUAAAUCAAGAUGAAGUUUCAGAACAAGAGUCAGAGAACAGAAUAUUGCGGCCACCAGAUGAAAGAGACAGAGAAAUGAACCGAAUUAAACCAAAUCCGACUCUUACAAUACAACCAAUCUUCAUGGAUCCUGGCCCUAGCACAAAGCCUAUGAAGGGUAAGGAGCGAGACAAGGUCCUUCCAAAUAGUUUAUGCUUGGAAGUCACUGGGAGGGUACAGCAUGAUAGCAAUCAAUUGAAAUAUUUUAUGAUGGACACGUGACAACCAGUUAUAAACAGAAAAUGUGCGGCAUUGACCAGGUCCAUUAGUGAAUAGAGGU